GCCAUGUCUGCAUCCAGGAUCGGAACUGGCGAACACCGGGCCACUGAGAAGCGGAACGUGCAAACUUCACCGCUGUGCCACCGGGCCGGCCGCAUUUCAAUCUCUUUUAAACUCAUAAUUGACACUUAAAGUGCCUCCAGGAACAUUCUUGGACUGUCUUUGGGAGAGCAGGGGCAAGUCUUUCCCUAGGAUUUUUUGGUGAAGAAGAUUCACCCAGAGCUAACAUCCAUUGCCCAUCUUCCUCUUUUUUUUGCUUGAGGAAAAUUAUUCCUGAGCUAACAUCUGAGCCAGUCAUCCUCUGUUUUGUAUGUGGGUCGCCACCACAGCAUGGCUGACGAGUGGAGUAGGUCUGUGCCGGGGUCUGAAGCCACGAACCUGGGCCACCGAAGCAGAGUGUGACGAACUUUAACCACUUGGCUAUAGG
Molecule: long non-coding RNA, 424 nt
Filed under: Equus asinus (donkey)
Lineage: Eukaryota; Metazoa; Chordata; Mammalia; Perissodactyla; Equidae
Description: lncRNA (ENSEASG00005034532.1)
Source: RNAcentral